CAGCAGCCGCGGUAAUACGAAGGGGGCUAGCGUUGUUCGGAAUUACUGGGCGUAAAGCGCACGUAGGCGGAUCGAUCAGUCAGGGGUGAAAUCCCAGGGCUCAACCCUGGAACUGCCUUUGAUACUGUCGAUCUGGAGUAUGGAAGAGGUGAGUGGAAUUCCGAGUGUAGAGGUGAAAUUCGUAGAUAUUCGGAGGAACACCAGUGGCGAAGGCGGCUCACUGGUCCAUUACUGACGCUGAGGUGCGAAAGCGUGGGGAGCAAACAGGAUUAGAGACCCCUGUAGUCCCUGUCUCUUAUAC
This 301-nucleotide ribosomal RNA is filed under the name uncultured bacterium. RNAcentral's name for it is "partial 16S ribosomal RNA". It matches the Rfam family "Bacterial small subunit ribosomal RNA", at positions 509 to 807 of the family's 1533-position model. The record is from RNAcentral.